CCCAACCUGGGAAUGGCAUUCGAUACUGUCCAGCUAGAGUCUGGUAGAGGGAAGUGGAAUUUCCGGUGUAGCGGUGAAAUGCGUAGAUAUCGGAAGGAACACCAGUGGCGAAGGCGACUUCCUGGACCAAGACUGACGCUGAGGUGCGAAAGCGUGGGUAGCAAACAGGAUUAGAUACCCUGGUAGUCCACGCCGUAAACGAUGAGAACUAGCCGUUGGACCCAUUUAAGGGUUUAGUGGCGCAGCUAACGCAAUAAGUUCUCCGCCUGGGGAGUACGGCCGCAAGGCUAAAACUCAAAGGAAUUGACGGGGGCCCGCACAAGCGGUGGAGCAUGUGGUUUAAUUCGAUGCAACGCGAAGAACCUUACCUGCCCUUGACAUCCUCGGAACUUGGUAGAGAUACCUUGGUGCCUUCGGGAGCCG
RNAcentral lists this ribosomal RNA (423 nucleotides) under uncultured Gammaproteobacteria bacterium. Its description in RNAcentral is "bacterial SSU rRNA". It matches the Rfam family "Bacterial small subunit ribosomal RNA", at positions 608 to 1029 of the family's 1533-position model. Lineage: Bacteria; Pseudomonadati; Pseudomonadota; Gammaproteobacteria. The record is from RNAcentral.